UGGGGAAUAUUGGACAAUGGGCGAAAGCCUGAUCCAGCCAUGCCGCGUGUGUGAAGAAGGUCUUCGGAUUGUAAAGCACUUUAAGUUGGGAGGAAGGGCAUUAACCUAAUACGUUAGUGUUUUGACGUUACCGACAGAAUAAGCACCGGCUAACUCUGUGCCAGCAGCCGCGGUAAUACAGAGGGUGCAAGCGUUAAUCGGAAUUACUGGGCGUAAAGCGAGCGUAGGUGGUUUGUUAAGUUGGAUGUGAAAUCCCCGGGCUCAACCUGGGAACUGCAUUCAAAACUGACUGACUAGAGUAUGGUAGAGGUUGGUGGAAUUUCCUGUGUAGCGGUGAAAUGCGUAGAUAUAGGAAGGAACACCAGUGGCGAAGGCGACCACCUGGACUAAUACUGACACUGAGGUGCGAAAGCGUGGGGAGCAAACA
RNAcentral lists this ribosomal RNA (427 nucleotides) under uncultured bacterium. Its description in RNAcentral is "partial 16S ribosomal RNA". It matches the Rfam family "Bacterial small subunit ribosomal RNA", at positions 355 to 774 of the family's 1533-position model. The record is from RNAcentral.